RNAcentral lists this ribosomal RNA (914 nucleotides) under uncultured bacterium. Its description in RNAcentral is "bacterial SSU rRNA". It matches the Rfam family "Bacterial small subunit ribosomal RNA", at positions 8 to 933 of the family's 1533-position model. The record is from RNAcentral.
AGAGUUUGAUCCUGGCUCAGAUUAAACGCUGGCGGCAUGCCUAACACAUGCAAGUCGAACGAGGUAGCAAUACCUAGUGGCGGACGGGUGAGUAACACGUAGGAAUCUGCCCUAAAAUGGGGGAUAGCCCGGGGAAACUCGGAUUAAUACCGCAUAUGCCCUAAGGGGUAAAGGAGGCCUUCUGGCUUCCGUUUUAGGAUGAGCCUGCGCCAGAUUAGCUAGUUGGUAGGGUAAUAGCCUACCAAGGCGAUGAUCUGUAGCUGGUCUGAGAGGAUGAUCAGCCACACUGGGACUGAGACACGGCCCAGACUCCUACGGGAGGCAGCAGUGGGGAAUAUUGGACAAUGGGGGCAACCCUGAUCCAGCAAUGCCGCGUGUGUGAAGAAGGCCUUCGGGUUGUAAAGCACUUUUAGCAGGGAAGAAAACAGGUGUGUUAAUACCACACUUGCCUGACAUUACCUGCAGAAAAAGCACCGGCUAACUCUGUGCCAGCAGCCGCGGUAAGACAGAGGGUGCAAGCGUUAAUCGGAAUUAUUGGGCGUAAAGCGCACGCAGGUGGAUGAGCAAGUUGGAUGUGAAAGCCCCGGGCUUAACCUGGGAACUGCAUUCAAAACUGCUCGUCUAGAGUACAGUAGAGGGAAGUGGAAUUUCCGGUGUAGCGGUGAAAUGCGUAGAUAUCGGAAGGAACACCAGUGGCGAAGGCGACUUCCUGGACUGAUACUGACACUGAAGAGCGAAAGCGUGGGUAGCAAACAGGAUUAGAUACCCUGGUAGUCCACGCCGUAAACGAUGACAACUAGAUGUUGGGUGGCUCUGCCGCUCAGUGUCGUAGCUAACGCGUUAAGUUGUCCGCCUGGGGAGUACGGUCGCAAGAUUAAAACUUAAAGGAAUUGACGGGGGCCCGCACAAGCGGU